AGAUGGUAUUUUAAAAAAAAAAAAUUGCAAUCUUACGAAUAUUAAUGCCAAGAAAACUCCCAGAGCAAAGGUUACUCAUGGUUAAGGCUACCGGGCCAGACCUACCAUUAAACGCAGUUCUAACAACUUUGGAUGAAUUUUACCUUCUGCUGCUCCUGUUAGUUUCAUGCAAAAAAAGUUCGCCUCUGAUGAGAAAUAACCUCGAAAUUUCAGUAGAAGCCUUUUCAACAGUAUCAAUUUGUUGUUUCAGCAACUGUGAUAGAUUAUCUUCGAAAAUUUUGGAAUUCCCGAUACAAAAAUACUGAGAAGGCGACUUCCGUAUAAAACUGUGGCCACCGAGAAAGCUAGACUUUUUCAAUCUUAUGAAUUAACCUCAUUUCAAAAAACCAUAUUUCGAGAAAUUCAUAUUUUCAGUUUCCAAUAUGCCUGCCCCUGUUUCCACCCUGCCGCCUCCUGAUGGCUGUUGCCCUCCUCCACCUCUACACAUUUCUCAUUCUCUUGAAAAUCUUGCGAAUUUGGUAAAGCUUGUGUGACCGUUGAGCAAUAACAUUCAACAGUUGAGGAACGCUCAGUCAAUAUUAUCUCGUAACCAUCUCGAAAAUUGUCCAUUCUCUCAGUUAUGAGUUGCCAAAACAGGCCUCCAGAAGUUGCACCUCCUCUUUUUGCUGGUGAGUAUAUCUUGUAAUAAACUGUGUUAAACAUCAGGUCUCUCUGAUAUGUGCUGAAACCAGGAUCUUUCCAAGAUUUUCCAAACUCGGUAGUGAGGUGGAUUGUGUUGAUGCAUCUUGGAUGAAUGCAUUGAACCAGUUGUUCAAGAAAGUAAGUUGGUAUUGGUUGUUAGAGCUAGAUAAUGAUAACCAUUGAUCAGGAUAUAAGUGGACUGUUGCGAAAUCAAUGCCAGGGAUGCGGUUAUUGGAAAUGAAAUCUGUCCCUAUUUCAAUACCAGGGUUGAGAUUCUUUCUCUGUGGUGUCAAUUGUCCUAAAAUCCUUCUAAACCAGCUUCAAGCAAGUGAUUUCUGUCUAUUGACUUCACAAAAUGAGCCGUUUCCAUUAUCCAAGCCUGUCAUAAAGAUCCAAGAAUUCACAUGUAAGCAUGGAUUAUGUGCUAAUGAAGAUGCAUUAAGGGAAGAUAAUCAAUUUUUUUUUGCUAACUUUUGCAUUGAUUGAGGACGUCCCUACUCCCAUGGAAGUGGGGCUAAAAGCAAGAUGACCACCAGAAAAGGAAACUUGAAAGCUUUAUUGCUGAGUAGUGGACAAACAAAAUUAGGUAGAAAUUGAAUUCCAAUUGAACUUCCAAGGGCUGGAUUAAGAAUUCAUCAAGCUCAAAAAAUAAACUUUUUUUUUCUAUUAUUUUUCAAAAUUAGUGAAAUAAUGAAGGAUGCAAGGUAAAGAUUAGACGUAAAAAAUAAAAAAUAGAGAGAAAGAAACCUGAAUAGCUUGAAUAGCUAAGCCGGAUGGAUCAGAUGUGCAUCUAGGCUCUUUCAUAAGCUCCCAUGCCAUGAUUGUUGAUCAUCUUUGUAAUGAAUUCCAGUAAAGCUGUUGUAUCUGUUAAGAACAGUCUUUAUAUGAUUCUUAAAGUAACCCUUAACCACAGGGUGUCUAAAGAAAUCAUCAUCAGAAGACAGGUAUUGCCCUUGAUUUCUAGCCCAGUUCACAUACUGCUUCUUCCCUCCAAAGCUAUCAUAGUUGUUAGCUAAGCUCAAUGUGAGCUUGAUCCCAUAUCUUCUAGCCUCAGCUAUAACAAAAUCCAGUCCCUUUAAACCAACAAAAGGAACCCAAAUCAUCAAGAUUGUGAAUCUACAAGAAUUAAGGCACAAAUUGAAGCUAAAAGAGUUUGUAUUCAUCAAGAGACCUUAAACAUUUCUUCAUUAUAGGAACCAGGAGAGUACUUACUGCAGAGGCUCGUAACAACCAUCACUGAAAGCCCAAAUUCUAGCAACAGUGAGGCCAUGGGUUGCUGCCUGAUGAAAUGCAGAUGAAACCUUGUGUCUCAGAGAUGGAUCAGAAGCUACAUACAUCAACCAGUAGGCAUUGAAGCAUUUGCAUAGCAAGGGCUAUCAUUCAAAAAGAAAUGGUUUCCUUGUUGGAUCAAAAUGGCUAGCAAAAGAGCCUAAACAAAAUGCCUCAUCUCUAUCUCUGUGUGUGUGUUUGAAGUGAGGAAGCAAUCUUGGACUAAUAUAGAGAAAGAGUUGCUGUUUAAAAGCUGAGAUCUUCUUAUUUAUUUAAGGCAAUGUGAAAACUUUAAAUUUCUCUCUAUUCUAUAUUUAUUUUUAAUUUAUCUGUUACUAAAUCUAUAUAUAC
RNAcentral lists this unclassified non-coding RNA (2301 nucleotides) under Hevea brasiliensis (rubber tree). Lineage: Eukaryota; Viridiplantae; Streptophyta; Magnoliopsida; Malpighiales; Euphorbiaceae. The record is from RNAcentral.